Molecule: non-coding RNA, 98 nt
Organism: Acanthosepion pharaonis
Lineage: Eukaryota; Metazoa; Mollusca; Cephalopoda; Sepiida; Sepiidae
Source: the annotation of a GenBank genome assembly
CAUUGAAACACCUGUUCCUGUACGAUCACCGAAGUUAAGCAACGUCAAGCCUGGUCAUUACCUAGGUGGGUCACCGCUUUGGAAUACCAGGUGCUAUA